UGCCAGCCGCCGCGGUAAGACAGAGGGUGCUAGCGUUGUUCGGAAUUAUUGGGCGUAAAGCGCACGUAGGCGGUUCUGCAAGUCGGAUGUGAAAGCCCAGGGCUCAACCCUGGAAGUGCAUUCGAAACUGCCGAACUAGAGUCCCGGAGAGGGUGGUGGAAUUCAUGGUGUAGAGGUGAAAUUCGUAGAUAUCAUGAGGAACACCGGUGGCGAAGGCGGCUACCUGGACGGAGACUGACGCUGAGGUGCGAAAGCGUGGGUAGCAAACAGGAUUAGAUA
This 279-nucleotide ribosomal RNA is filed under the name uncultured bacterium. RNAcentral describes it as "partial 16S ribosomal RNA". It matches the Rfam family "Bacterial small subunit ribosomal RNA", at positions 506 to 784 of the family's 1533-position model. The record is from RNAcentral.